AGUUCAUCUUUCAACUUUUUCUUCAUUCGCUGCAUUCUAUACCUCACUACAUCAUGUAUCUGCAAAAAGCGGGCACGAUAGAUGAAGAGACCUGUGCAUAGUCGAGACAACAAUAAGAGUGAGUGUGCAGCUUAAUCUUCUCUUCUCCAUCUCUUCCAGGAAGAUUAUCAGCAGUGGCAGCAACUGCAGCGCUAUACGCUUUUGCAC
RNAcentral lists this long non-coding RNA (207 nucleotides) under Helianthus annuus (common sunflower). RNAcentral's name for it is "hypothetical non coding rna". Lineage: Eukaryota; Viridiplantae; Streptophyta; Magnoliopsida; Asterales; Asteraceae. The record is from RNAcentral.